RNAcentral lists this ribosomal RNA (563 nucleotides) under uncultured bacterium. Its description in RNAcentral is "bacterial SSU rRNA". It matches the Rfam family "Bacterial small subunit ribosomal RNA", at positions 34 to 592 of the family's 1533-position model. The record is from RNAcentral.
CGCUGGCGGCAUGCCUUACACAUGCAAGUCGAACGGCAGCACGGGAGCAAUCCUGGUGGCGAGUGGCGAACGGGUGAGUAAUACAUCGGAACGUGCCCAGUCGUGGGGGAUAACUACUCGAAAGAGCAGCUAAUACCGCAUACGACCUGAGGGUGAAAGCGGGGGAUCGCAAGACCUCGCGCGAUUGGAGCGGCCGAUGUCAGAUUAGCUAGUUGGUGGGGUAAAGGCCUACCAAGGCUACGAUCUGUAGUUGGUCUGAGAGGACGACCAGCCACACUGGGACUGAGACACGGCCCAGACUCCUACGGGAGGCAGCAGUGGGGAAUUUUGGACAAUGGGCGCAAGCCUGAUCCAGCAAUGCCGCGUGCAGGAAGAAGGCCUUCGGGUUGUAAACUGCUUUUGUCAGGGAAGAAAUCCUCUGGGUUAAUACCUCGGGGGGAUGACGGUACCUGAAGAAUAAGCACCGGCUAACUACGUGCCAGCAGCCGCGGUAAUACGUAGGGUGCGAGCGUUAAUCGGAAUUACUGGGCGUAAAGCGUGCGCAGGCGGCUUUGCAAGACAGA